GAUGAACGCUGGCGGCGUGCUUAACACAUGCAAGUCGAACGGAAAGGCCCAAGCUUGCUUGGGUACUCGAGUGGCGAACGGGUGAGUAACACGUGGGUGAUCUGCCCUGCACUUCGGGAUAAGUCUGGGAAACUGGGUCUAAUACCGGAUAGGACCUCUUCCUGGAUGUUGUGGUGGAGAGAUUUUUGGGUGUGGGAUGGGGUCGCGGCCUAUCACCUUGUUGGUGGGGGAAUGGCCUACCAAGGCGUCGGCGGGUAGCCGGCCUGGGAGGGUGUACGGCCACAAUUGGGCUGAGGAACGGCCCAGACUCCUACGGGGGGCAGCAGGGGGGAAAAAUGCACAAUGGGCGCGAGCCUGAUGCAGCGACGCCGCGGUGGGGAUGACGGCCUUCGGGUUGUAAAACCCUUUCGGUAGGGACGAAGCGGUGUGUGACGGUACCUGGAGAAGAAGCACCGGCUAACUACGUG
RNAcentral lists this ribosomal RNA (467 nucleotides) under uncultured bacterium. Its description in RNAcentral is "partial 16S ribosomal RNA". It matches the Rfam family "Bacterial small subunit ribosomal RNA", at positions 28 to 507 of the family's 1533-position model. The record is from RNAcentral.